Molecule: non-coding RNA, 6145 nt
Organism: Musa acuminata subsp. malaccensis (wild Malaysian banana)
Lineage: Eukaryota; Viridiplantae; Streptophyta; Magnoliopsida; Zingiberales; Musaceae
Source: RefSeq, a predicted model, not a curated record
CAAAAAAAUCCGUUGAGACGCACAACUCGAUCACGCUCGUUUCCACCGCCUCCGGCGUCCUCGGCGUCGAUCCCAACCGACCUCGAUGGCGACAUCCGUCUCUCCUCUUCCAUUUGAAUCUGCGUCCGUCUCCUCGACCCUCCUCGGACGAUCGCGGCCAACUACCUUGUCCCCGCCGUCUCCGGCACCAAGAACCGCCUCCCUCACCUCCUACCGCCUCCAGAGUGGAGUCAACUGUGGGGAUUCGGGAUCUGUUAUCCCCGGAUCGGUAUUCAUAGCAUUUCACUACGAUCACUGCUGGCACAUGGCGGUACACUGAUCCCUCCCGACAUGGUCACUUGUGAGGGAUCUCCCCGUAGGAACUUUGUAUCCAUCCCCACCCCACCCCCCCCUCCUUUGCAUUUGGAACAGAUCGAAUCGCGUUAUACAUCUGGCAGAUCCGGCUGUGGCGGCCAUGACAGCUAGGGCUUGGCAGGGGUUUGUGAUCGUCCACCUCAUCUUCUCGACUCUUUUCACUGCGCUCUACGAGGAUAAGUCCUGGUGACGGAUUGGUUUGUAGAUCCUCUUUUAUAUUACUUCUUUUCCCGUCGUCAUGUGUGUUUCCUUCUUUUAUGCAACUUCGAAUAUGUUGUCCAGGUUUCUUCUACUUCUUUUGAAUUCUUCCUCAUUAAAGCAAUCAAACAUGUACUUUGAAUCUCGUCCCUUUUGUUAUGCAAUCAUACCAAUAGUUUCAUAAAUCUCUUGCUUCUCGAUGUGUUAUUAGUUUGACCUUAAUAUCUAUAUGCUAAAUUUUGCAAAUGAAAUAAAUGAUGUUUAUCAAGUAUUUUCUGGAGCUAGAUUUUUCUGAUAUCGGGAUGAUUACUAACAAUAUUUUAGAACAUUAGAGAAUUACCAUCAGUUAGGAUGGGUUCCUUGUAGUCGUGUAAAGUUGCAAAUUUUAGAUGAUAAAUCAAGGAAACGAAAAUUGCAUGCAAUUGAGCACAACAUCUAGAUAAUGAGAUUUUGAUCAUGCACUUUAUCAUCUAAGAGGUUGAGCUGAAUACUGUAGAAACUAUAGUUUUUAUUUUGUAUCCAUAUGUUUGUUCUUACAUGUAUGUCGUUUCUUCUUUUAAGUUUUACAUGGUUAUUGGUGGUAAUGAUUUCAGUAUUUCUGCUACAAAUAUUCUUGUUGAAAUUAGAGAGGCACUAACCUUUUCGUACUUGUACUUCUCCUUUUCAGUCUGUUAUAAUAUUAAAUUAAUUAGAUACAAUUAGGUUUCUUUCUUCACAUCAAAUUAUUUUGAAUCUUAAAGAGCAGAAACUAAUUGUAAAAGAAACCCUUAUGAGGGAGAACGAGUAGGGUAGUCAAACCUUUUUCAGCCCUUGAUCUAACUCUGUGCUUUUGGGGCUUAUAAUUCCAAUCAUAAAUCACAUUUGUUUUCUUGGCAAGAGUCAUGUUCUUCUUUCAGUCAAAGUCAUUCAGCAUCUAGAUUGCAUAUGUUCAAUCUGAUAGAGUAUAGUCAAAAUCUUUUUAAAUUAUCCAACCAUAUUUUAAUAACAUAAGAUGAUUUAGUUGAGUAUUUUAGGGGCUCAAAUGACCAUUCUUGUUAAAAUGUAUAAUUAUUUAUUGAAGUUGAAAGACAUUUAUAUGGCAUGAUGUAGUUUAUUAAAAGCAACUUUUCUUUGUGACACUCAUAACAUUGAAACUGUAUACCAAAUGGGACCACCAAUAUCUCCAUUUUGAAUGUCAGUCUGGAUUGGCUCUCUACGCUGCCCAAAACUAUCCAGUUUGGUUUGGCUUAUAUGUAAGAUGUAGGUAAUCCUUUUAAACAGUACCUCCUUGUUUUGUUGAACUUUGACCAUCAAGUCAAAAUGUGAACAGUCUAUCUUGUUUCUCCUGAUGUUAGUAAACUACACCGACUUGUUUUAGAUCAGUAAAACCAUUGGUUCUUGAGUAUGGUACUCGUCUCUAUUGGAGGGCUCACAUGGUUUGAGAUUUUCUUGGGUCAUGUGCUGUAGCAAAUUAGCCAAAAGCAUUUUUCCCUGCAUUAUGUUUAUUCUCAAAAAGCUUGUGCCACGUUUUGUAGGAUCGACCUAUUCCAAUGGUGGAUCGAAUCACCCAACUGAUAUUGAAACCCUUGGGAAAUUGUGGAACCAGUUGGACUUGGCAGAGUUAAUCAAACUUGAUUAUUUUUUAGCUGAUUCUAAUUGCUUUUGACAAAUUAUCAUUAGUAUUGAUGAGCUUUGGCUACUCUUAAUCUCUAUCAUUACUGAUUCUUUGUGGCGCAAUCAAUGUUUGACGGGUUUCUUUGCUUCUGGACUAUAGCCAACUUUUGGUCAAUCAUGGACAUUUUGAAUUGAUUUCAUGAAAUCUGAUAAGACAAUAUGAUUCUGUUGGUGCAUAUUAAUCUCAAUUUCAUCUAUCACCAUUCUUGAACUGAUCUCAAUCUCAUGAACUUUGGUCAAGUAUCAUCAUUUUCGAAUGGUUGCCUUCAUCGUUUAACCUCUAGAUGUAGCUAUUGAUGCUAACUUCUGUGUAUUUCUGUCAUGAUUUGUGUAUUUGUUUCUUAAUUUAUUAGUGUACCAUUUUUGCCUUCCGAAGAUGUAUCCAAGCUCACAUUAUCUUCUCAUUUCUUUUAUCAACUUUGAUACCUUCCAACUAGAAGUUCCAAAUGAGAGGGAAGACCUCCAUUUUCCCUAUCUACCUAUCGAUGUUUUAGAUAUCAUUUAUUAAGCUAUGUGUCCCCUCCAGCCUGUGUAAAUUCUGGCUGUUUCUCUGAAUAAGAGGCAUGUGAUGAACUUACUGGAGUGGUUCAAAAGGACACCUUUAUGAUGUUUUAAAGGGGUGAUAAUUGGAAUUUAGGUUGGUCAAAUAUAUGACCAUGGCAUAGCCAUGGAUUAUUGUAUGCACAUAUGCAUGCUAUAUCAUCAUGCCUUUGCAAAUUAAGAUGUGCCCAUGUGUCAUAGCUAAGUUGUGCAUCUACUAUGUAUUUAUGUACGCAUAUCAGAAAGAUGUCAAACUAUUUAUUCUUUUUUUCUCGUCUGGAGAUUUCAUAUAUACAUGUAUAUAUACAUGUGUUAGGGUGGACCUUGGUACAACACUAAGCUUGCUCCUUUUCAACCUUGUGGCCAAUUUUUGAGUCUCAAAAAUAGCUUCUCUAAGGUAGAGGGAAGGCUGCAUAUAUGGAGAAAUAUAUAUACAUAUGCAUGUAUAUAAUAUAGUAUAAUAUAAUAUAAGAAUACUUAAAUUUAUAAAUUUAGGCAAAUACUCCAAGCAACUCUUUGUAUAAGAUUGUGGGUAAUAUUGCUUGACCUGGUGACCUUGUUGGCGGUUGUGCUGUUGUAAUCAUAAUGUCUAUGAAGACUUAGGAAUAUCCUUUGAGCUAAAUUUCCUGUCCUCUGUUCUACCAGACUUUGAGCGUGCUAUUAUUUAGUUCAGUGGAUGAUUUGUAUACUGUAGUUAUAUUAGUCAAGUGGAUGAUCUUUUUUUUAUGGCUAUAUUUUGAAUAGAUUAAGCUGCCCAUUCUCAAUACACAGGAUAAAACUGGGAGAAAACAUGUUGUAGCACUUAUGGAAGAGAAUGUCAUUCCUUCUCUUGAUCUCCAUGCAGAUGAUAGCUGUCAGUUUGGACUCAUAUAUUCUGUUAUCGUGUUAGUUAUCAAGUCUCUGCUUAUUAAUGUUCAGAGUAUGAUACCAUGAGUAAAAUAGGAAACCUUGUUUGUAUAAUUAGAAACUCCAAUUGUGUAAGUAUUAGAAUAUUUGGGGUUUCCUUUUCUCUUCUUGAGAAUUGAAAUAACUUUUAGUUGGCUUACUUCAUGCAGCUUGGAGGCAUGUUCUUGGAAAAAAUGGCCAUCUCAAUCAAGUUGACACUGCUCUUUUGAAGUGUAAUUUUCUCUAGUACUUUGUAGAUGUAGUUAACUUUUUGGGGCAUUAGCCUAUGAUUUCCACUCUUUGAUGUAUAUCUCUUCCUUACCGAGAUUGCUCCACCAAGAGCUUAUGAUUCGCUUACUGGAGAUUUCAGCUGCACACGUCUCACAAUCAUUUCACUAGUUGCCGCCAUUUCUGUGACAUGGACCUCAUCCGAGCAGGAGCAUAGAGAGAAAUAGAGCUUUUACAAACUAGGUGAAGCCCUUGCCGGAGUGAUGACUGACAUCAGAGAUCGCAGCCUGCUAACAAGCGCUUCCGACUUCUUUUCAUUUUGGUGGCUUGGUUCUUCAAGUGCCUGUGCCAGGUCCAGUUUCUCUAGAUGCCACCUGUUACCUGAAAUUGAGAUGCUAGAUAUCUGAAAGCGAUAGGAUGUACUGUGAGUGAAGGUUUCAUAUUUUUCAUCCAAUACUAUCAGCUAGGAUGGUUUUGGAGUCUUCAGCUAGUGGCAGCCUAAAAGAAGAAUUCACAGGUUCGCAAUACCGAACAAAAGGUGACACACUUGACAAAAGAUUGGGGCAAGCAUGCUAAUAAUGGUAAAUGAUUUUCAAAGUAUCGUUGGCAAUCAUCGAAAGCAAAACACUUUGAGUCGAGCUGCACAAUGCAAAGCCGGAGACGAGGGGUCAUAUCCUAUUUCUCACUUUGUUGAAGCUGUUGACUCUUUCUGGUGCCAGAGUCUGACUUGCAAUCAAUGCAGCCCAUUUGAAGGAACACCAUGGAGGCCUACCACCACUUGCCUCACCCCUUAAGAGAAGCCAUGUGAUAUGAUGGUACUCCACCUCUUGAUACAACUCCACUUUGCGGUCUGCACUUGAGCCCACCACUCAAGUAACAGAGGCCAUGCACCAUUUGAAGAUGGUACAAUCACUGUUGGGUGCAACGGGGAUUACUGUAGCAUCCAUGUUGGAAUAGUGAAGGUGGGUCUCACUGAUUUGAGCUCAUUUUUAUCUCCAACGAAUCGAGAAGGUUAUCUUCCUUCUGUCUGCAGAUGGCAGUGCAUUGAGGAUAAAUUUUUAAAGGGACUUCGUAACCUGCUGUCUACACUUAUCACAGGGAUGCUCAACUAUGGGAAUACAAAUUCAUAAGUUGAAAGGCCAGAAUACUCAAGGUAAAAUUUGUUGGAGGUUUGGAGCAUAGUAUGAUUUAGAAACUAAGAUUACAUUUGGCUGGGCCUUGCAUCGAAUUCAGUACAGUGCAGAUGUUUAAUACAAGAUAGAAAAUUCGGUAACAUGACAUGAUUCUAUCUUCUACCAGAUCCCAGUUUGGGGAUAUUGGUGGUAGAAGGGGUCGCAUUGUUGCAGCAUUGCUUCCAUGCUUAUCAGCACACAAAAAGUUAUUGAUGCUACUGUUGGUGACACUACUUAAAAGAGGAGUCUCUUGGUCCACCUUAUCUCGUCAACCAUAGGAGGCCAAGAAAAUAUCCAAUCUUGGGUCCCAAAAGGGAACCCAUUGCUACUGUGGAAUGGUUUCCAAUUAGAUCAGGAACUGUAAGAAAGAGGAGGCUGAGGGAGACUUCUAAUCACUCUGUUACACAACCCACCAACAAAGGAGGUCCCCUUCCACCUACAAUUCGACAACUACGUUGGUGCUCAUUCUGUAUCAUGUAGCCCAAAUCUUUCUCUGGAUUCCACUGUGCCACCACCGGCAACUCGGUCCACGAGCACAUCGUUCAAGUGACUGCCAUCAUGUUAUCAAUCUCAAUUAUUGGAUCUGAAGUUGGCGCCGACGCAAUAGAUGCAUGUAACGGAAUCUUGAAUUCCAUGGGGCUACCAGCUUUCCUAGGCAUGUUCUUGUGAUGCCUUCUUUCCUUUGGCAAAGUAGCAUGCUUGAUACUUUGGUCUUAGACCAAUCAAAUGAACAUGAAGAUUAGAUGUGGGAAGUGAAAGCCACUCCUAGUUUCAGAUCCUCCUUAUCUCAAGAUGGUUCCAGAGUGAUGCUUAUUUAUCAAAUAAUGUUGAUCUAUAUGGAAGAAAGAAACCCCUCAACUAAUGAUUCUCUUGAGAGGCACUUGAAAUUGCUGUUAUUUGUCCAGCCAUUAAGGUUUAGCAGAAAAGAAAAGGAUGAGAGACAAUUUUUCUUGGUCAGAGCCUUGGUGAUGGCAAAACAACAAAUUCCCUUUUGGCUUUUCUCUGUCUAAUUUUGGGCACCAUUCCAAUAUGGUGAAAGGUAAUUCUGAAAGCUUCCGUGUGCUAUUUUUCUUCUAUUUUCUCUUUCAACUAUUAUGAAAUAAAAUUAAUCUUAA